UAUAAUUUGGUAAAUUUAUUUUGAAACCAAGUAAGUAGUAAACCAUUUUUAUUUUCCUUUUUUUACCUUUCUAAAUACCUGUAUCCAUCCUUAGGUACCCCUGAUACUUUAGCCCUGAGAAUUAGUCAUUUACACUUAUAGGUGUUAUUUUAGAAAAAGGUUUUAAACCCAUCAAUUUUUAAUAGACAAAGCAUCCAUUAACUUUGCAUUAUUGUAUUGUAGAAUUCGUUAGCAAAUUAAUAGCUAGGUACUACACCUCAGUGUCCGUCAAAUCUAUGUAAACAAUGUUAUUCACUAGUACCUAUAUCCGCAUGAGUCACGUGUCAAGCUUAUCAGUACAUAUCAGUACCGAGAAUUCACCUGAUACAGGUACGAUGAUAAACACAGGCCAAUAAAAAUAUCAUCAAUCGAACUUACGAAGCCGAAGAGAAGCCAUUGAGUUUGUCUCUUGUUUGAAAAGUAGAAUUUGUGUUGUGAUUUUAAAGCAAGAAAUGGAGGUGCCUCCUCACAUGAUACCUUGUGGGCCACUGUGCGGCAGAGGUCACUGCCUACCCCACUGCUCCCACUACAGAAUCCAUACGUUCGUUCCGCCCCCGCCGGUGCAUCACAACUAUCCCCCGCCCCCACCUCACCACUAUCCCCCACCACAUCAUCAUCAUCAUCACCCGCCACCUCCGUUCCAUCCUCCACCGCCCCCGCAUCAUCCACCACCCCCGCAUCAUCCACCACCGCCCCACCACUCUCCUUUCCACAGCCUGCUGCGUUAAUAUGAAAACUGUGAAAUACCUCUAGCAUAACAUUGACGACAACUUUUUAUUGACAAAAGGAUAGAAAGAUUAACCGUCCUUUUAUAGACAUAUACCUAUGAACAUUUAUGGACAUUAAAAGUAAUCUCUUUUUUAAUACUUUCUGUCACGAUGCUUGAACGAUUAUAAUUUAUUUUUAUUUCUCCUUUAUCCCUUUUCUUUUUCCUGAGAUGCAGCUGAUUAAUUCUUAUUUUACUCAUUGUAUCUGAGCUGUUAUGUAUACCUACUUAUUAUUCAUUAAAAAGAAAUAUCGUCAAUUCUUCUAAGAAUUUUAAUGAAUUUUUUUCUAAAAAUAUAUAAAGUAAUAUUUGUACCUA
Long non-coding RNA from Amyelois transitella, 1123 nucleotides. RefSeq lists it as uncharacterized. Lineage: Eukaryota; Metazoa; Arthropoda; Insecta; Lepidoptera; Pyralidae. The record is from RefSeq and is a predicted model, not a curated record. The transcript is spliced from 2 exons.